Molecule: long non-coding RNA, 3857 nt
Organism: Phascolarctos cinereus (koala)
Lineage: Eukaryota; Metazoa; Chordata; Mammalia; Diprotodontia; Phascolarctidae
Source: RefSeq, a predicted model, not a curated record
UUGAGUUCCAAAUUCCCUCCCUCUCCUCUGUCCCCUCCCCCUCUAAUUGAGAAGGCAAGCAAUUAGAUACAGGUUUUACAUGUGCAGCCAUGCAAGACGUACUUCCAUAUUAGUUACAUUGUGAAAGAAAACACAAAAAACCCCCGAGAAAAAUAAAGAAAAAGUCUGCUUCAGUUUGCCUUCCGUCUCCAUCAGGUCUUUCUUGGCAGGUGGAGAGCAAUUUUCAUCAUGAGUCCUUUGGGGUGGUCUUGGGUCACUGUAUUGCUGACAAUAGCCAAGUCAUUCACAGCUGGUCAUCUUCUAUUAUUGCUGGUACUGUCUCCAAUUACAUUUCAGUCUGGUUCAGCCACUUUCAGGAGUGUUGUGUGCCCCAAGUGUACCUGUGACUGAGUGUUUAACACCUGGGUUGGACCACUUGCUUUAGGAGUGAUUCUAAGGCUGAGCUAAGUCACUACAUUGACAAAGCUCCUACUCCCACCAGGAAAGGCUCUGGAAGAUGGUGACAAGGGUGAGGGGACCCACAACAGGGGAGUGGCAAGGAAAAUGAAGAGGAGCAGAGGAAGGCCAAUGGAGAGCAGAGACCAGAAGAGAGCUGCUGGCCAGGGGACAUCAAAAGGGGCCCCUGAGCAAAGAAUCCUUCACCGGGGCCCCCAGGGCAAUCCUGUCAGUACUGGAAGAUUUCAUGGACUUCUGCGGAGGUUGGACCAUUUGGCUUUCCACCGGCUCUAGGGUUCCAUAUGGAAGGACAAAGAAGGUGUUUCUCAGGCGAUUGGUUUCCUUCCGUAUGUCUCCCACUCUAUUCUGCCAAGACAAGAGCCUGGUUGUGACUUCCCUCCCAUGCAUCAUGCCCAUCUCCUUGUGGAAUGGAGGGAAGCCCCCUCACUCCUCUUCAAAGUCAGACACAAGCUGAGUGUGCAUGGGGUGCCUCAGUGAAAUUCCUGCUGGACUCUGAAACUCACUCAUUGUUCCCUCUGGGAUCUUUCAGGGGCUAGUUUUCUGUGAGCAUUUUUUUUUUUAUCCAGAAGUGAAUUGUGACUGGGAAACUGUCAUUUGUUUCCAUCAUUUCCCCUGCUCAGUUGCUAGUCUUUAGGAAGCUAAUGAAAAGUGCGCACGACACAAUUUCAGCAGAAAAGAAAGCUCAGGUGCCCGGCGUUUCUCGAGCUUGCUCUCAGAGUUAGGUAGCUUGUUACAGGGUCAUUGGGUUUGUCUUCAGAUCAUAAUUCUGCUUUGUACUUUUUUGUUAACUUGUGUGUGUGUGAACAUGCAUUUACAGUUGUAAGAACUGGGAAAAUGGGUAUUCCAGCUUUGAGGUUUAUAACAGAUGAGAACUGUAUUUUUUUUUUGCCUUUAAAUUCAUUAAUGACAUGAAUAAAUGAGCUUAUCUUUACAUAUCAAAAAAAAAACCAGUCAGAUGAUGAGAGAUGUUAGAUUAAUGUUCCAAAACCUCACUCUGCCAGGAAUGAGAAGCUCAGGCUGGUCAAUCUCUUUCCAACGAUCUGGAACCAGUAGAAACCCAUAAAAGACUGAGUUAUUACUGAGAAUAACUCUUGAAAUAUUCCUUCUGAGUUCCAGGCUUCACUGCCCCAAAGGUUUGGAAUUCAGGAGACCACAUAGUUUGUCUGGGGUUUUGAGAUUGGGCCGACCCAAACCCAAGGACUUGCAAACCUUCAGGAGGUCAAGGGGGCCAGACAUGGCAUUGACCUUACGGCUGUUAGCCUGCCCUGGUCAGUUCUGUGGGUUUGGGGCUUGCCCCGGUUUGGGUCCAGUGAGGGCUCUGUUCCCUGGCUUUUAGCUGUGCCCCUAGUUAUGGCCAGCUGCCUCCGAGGAGGAUGAAAAGAGAGAGGCUUUUGGGUGGGGAGGGCACAGCCAGGGUGGCCUGGGGCUGUCACUGAAGGCUUCAGUAGGUUAUCUGCAGAGCUCCAAGGGAACAGCCACAAUGGAGGCUGCUGGUCCCCUGCAGCCUGAGCCUGAGAUGGGAGGAAAUUACAGAGUAUUAAAAUGGGGAAUGUUAUCAGGCUCCAGGUUAUGCAAGAUGCCAUCAGGAGCACUGGGAACAGAGGGCUGUGAACUCUGUAAGAGCAGAGCCCGAAGAGCCCAUUCUGAGUCUUCAUUUCUGCACCCCACGCUGCAGCCCUCAAGGGGGUCAGCUUCUCCCAGGCUCCUGCCUGCUUCCCCGGGAGGGGGAUGGAGGAGUCUUGGAGAGGGCACUUACUCUGAGGCGAAGCCCCCAGAGGGGCUCGGGUGCUUGGAGACUGGGUUGGCCACUGGGGCCUUGGUCAGCUGGCCUUUCUGACUCUGACCUUCGCUGGGGAGUAUUUUGGCUCUGGAAGGAUCCCCCAAAGCUUUGUUGCUCCCGGAUGUGGAGCCAGGGGUGCAUGGAUCAUAAAAUGCUCUUCUUGAGGUGUAGGGGGGUUGUUUGGGGGACAGAGAUGGGCCCAAGGCAGCCCCCUCUCACUGGCGUGAGGAUGUUGAGCUGGUAGGGACAUAACCCCUAGAAAUGGUACCUGCUUCUUCGUGGCAGACAGCAAGAUGGAUCAUGUUAGUGAUCUCCACGUCUGCUGAACCCGGCUGCUCCCAUGGGGAGGCAGAUGGUGAGGUGAGAAGGCCUCCCACUGAGGCGGGUAGCAUCUGGGCAGUGGCCAGAGGGCAGGACUCAGAGCAAAGAAUCCCCUCUGUGACCAUUUGCAUAUCCCUCUCCCUCUCUGAGACUCACCUUCCUCUUCUUUAUAAUGGGGCUAGCCAGACCUGUGUACCUGCCUCAGGCAACGUCUACAAAGUGUGAUCCGUAGACCAGGCCUGCGCAAUAGAGGCCCGCAGGCCGCUUUCGGCCCUGGGGCCAUUCGUGGCAUGCCAAAGGAUUUCAGGCUGCCAGCCAAAAAUGUGGAGGAAAACAUCCUUUGUAUAUAGAGGCCACUGCAAGUGUGCAGGCCAGCUAUGGACCAAGAAAUAGCAGUGAUCGUUACUGAAAUGCCCCGGUCUUGAGGGCUGAAAGUCUGAGUUUGACGCGACCUCGUACUCUGGCCUUCCACUCCACAAGUGCCUUGUCCUCCUCAGCCCUGAGUCCAGGGAAUCAAGGAAGGCCUCUGGGCCCCACAGACUCAGCUUAUCAAGUUUCAGCAAACUCAAUGACAUUUACAUACACGUGUUUGAAGGGGCAUCUCUUUUGUAAUGCAAAUCCAGAAUUGGAAGGAUCCUGAGCUCCCGUCUCUUCUAAGCCCCUCUUUCAGUCCUUGCCUAGAUCUCCCUGGUGAGCGCACCCCCUUCACUGAUGCACACUGUGAUCGCUCCGUGCCUCCUCCCCUUGGGAGUCAGGAGGACCCAUCAGCCCUUCACUCAGUGGUGGGAGGCCUGUCCCAGAUACUCCCCAUGCUUCCUGACUUCAUCUGAAGCCCCAGGGCUGCCUGCUAGCUGUGGGUCUUCACCCUUCAUCUAAGACCAGCUCAGAUCCUUUGAUGAUGUAUCUGCUGGACAAUGAUUGAGCGGAAUGCUGGAGAUGUUGGUGAUCCUGAGUGGCAGCGGUGAGACAAAGGAGCAGAGACACUGGUCACAUUUUGAUUGUGUCAUUUCCCGGCUGCUGAGGCACAAUGACAACAUCACAAAGGGGAGUGAGGAAGCAUAGAGAACACAAAGGAGAGUGGGAGGUGCCCGACCCGAUGUGGCGGUUUGGAAACAAUUUGAUGACAGGAGCACAUCGCUCUUCAUCAGAAGUGGUCAGAGUUUGGCGUGAUCCCUGCAUGAACUCAGCGAUUGUUAUGUGCAUAAUCACGACAGUUCUGAAAUGCUGCGGAAACAAACUUUUCAUGCUUCAAAUGUGUGUAAGCUUGUUGUCACAGAGGAAAUAUAUGUUUGUCACCUGA